RNAcentral lists this long non-coding RNA (1095 nucleotides) under Neogobius melanostomus (round goby). RNAcentral describes it as "lncRNA (ENSNMLG00000013583.1)". Lineage: Eukaryota; Metazoa; Chordata; Actinopteri; Gobiiformes; Gobiidae. The record is from RNAcentral.
AGAAAAUGUUAUGUUGUGUGUGUCCCAUCUCAGAGAAGCAGAAGAGGAAGAGCCUACCUCGAUAUUUUAGAGACAUUCAAUCUUCUCCUGGUGCACAGCCGGCUCAGACUCAAGCCCAGCACAGCCAUGGAUCAUGACACUGACAUGCCUAGGAAUAAAACAUAGUGUGGGAUAAAUGUGUUAGAGGCAAGACACAGGGAUGACUCAUCUUUCCAAACUCAAUGCACUUUCAAGCCAAAGGAGACACCGGAGGCUAGAUUAUAGAAAGCACUAACUAGCCCCACGUGGAUAAAUCAACCUUCUCAAAACAAGUUCAGAUGAGGACAGAGGAGAAAGGCACAUAUUAUAUAAUAGGUGAGGCCAAAACUGCACAAGACUACACUGACCUGAGGGGGAAAAAGAGGAGACUGGGCCGCAUUGGUGAUAUGGACAUAAGAGUCCAGCUGAUAAAUGUCUCAUGACACUGGACCAAGGCUGUUCAUUUCAGCAAGAUCUCCACAAACCUGAACUAACAACAUUGCAUUUAGAUCAAAGUUACAGGGCAUAUACUGUAGGUUUAGAUCUGAGCUUAGGCAGUAAAUAAAUGUUUGGUUUUAGAGCGCGUACACACAUCAGCAUUGACAGCUUUUUAUCGCUCACAAUUUAUCUAAUAGGCCUAGCACAAACUCUAUGCAAGUUGUAACUACAAUAAUGCUUAUAGCAUCAUGUCUUUUGUCACGUCUUGUUUAGCUUAUAAGGUAAUGCAUAAUAGCCUAUAACCGUGCUACCUUUGUCUUACCUUCGUCUCUUUAUCGCAUCUUGGUGCGGAGGGGAUGAAGCAACAUCCUUCAAACGAGUCCAGUGAUGAGCACCACCGUCUGUCCGUCCGCAGGAGAAGAGCAGCUGCCUCCGCAGCGAACAAGAGGAUGCGAACAAGGAGGAUACGAACAAGGAGGAUACGACCGUGGGCUAACAGGGGACGAGCCCGCUGACUGCACCAGAGCUGCCCUGGACGAGCGAUGGAGACUGGAGACUCUCAGCCUUUGACCUCUGCAACUAAAUCAAAGGCAUUGUCCACGAGGCAGAUGGGCCCCCCUCCACAACAAUACAAGUAAA